This 71-nucleotide transfer RNA is filed under the name Potamyia flava. RNAcentral describes it as "tRNA-Asp". Lineage: Eukaryota; Metazoa; Arthropoda; Insecta; Trichoptera; Hydropsychidae. The record is from RNAcentral.
AAAGAUUUAGUUAAAACAUAAUAUAAAUUUGUCAAAUUUAAGUAAUUUAUUCUCUAAUUAAAUAAUCUUUU